Molecule: long non-coding RNA, 2153 nt
Filed under: Homo sapiens (human)
Lineage: Eukaryota; Metazoa; Chordata; Mammalia; Primates; Hominidae
Description: non-protein coding lnc-UGDH-2:1
Source: RNAcentral
UCUACUGCGAGGUAAGGAUGUUUCUGUGCUCGUGGGGGUACUGGGAAUCUGAAACCAUCUGCUCUGGGAAAGGCUGCGGCGCGGCUCCCACUCUCGGAACCUUGUCCUGUUUGUCCCCCAGCUCGGCAAGCGCCAUAUGAGCCUGGCGGCGCCAGAUGCGAAUCCUGUUGUGGGCUUUUUGGCCUAUUCCCGCCCCUCAGUCUUGCCGGGAUGGCACCGCCCGCAUAGGACUUCCAGGGUUGGGCUGAGUGGGAGUUCGACUGCUGGGCCUCGUAAUUCUCGCUUUGGGGCUGCUCCUUCCAGGCUGGGACACACUGGGGCCCGCUGUCGGUCUCCCGUCCUCCGACAUCUUGUCUGGAACUUCCGCCUGGCAGUCUCCAGUAGGAGUGGAGCUCUGUGCGGCGUAGUUUGGUGGAAAAACGGGCCUUGCGUCGGCCUCACCCCCAGUGUUUGUGUUUCAGAAUGAAGACUAUUCUCAGCAAUCAGACUGUCGACAUUCCAGAAAAUGUCGACAUUACUCUGAAGGGACGCACAGUUAUCGUGAAGGGCCCCAGAGGAACCCUGCGGAGGGACUUCAAUCACAUCAAUGUAGAACUCAGCCUUCUUGGAAAGAAAAAAAAGAGGCUCCGGGUUGACAAAUGGUGGGGUAACAGAAAGGAACUGGCUACCGUUCGGACUAUUUGUAGUCAUGUACAGAACAUGAUCAAGGGUGUUACACUGGUAAGCAGAUGUAUCAGACUUCCUUGUUUUGGAAAGGGAGGUUUCUCAAACCUGUGCUUUAUACAGCGUAAGUGUCUCUUUCAGAGAAUGGGUCAUGUAUUUUAUUUGGUGUAAUACGCAAGAACUUGGCAAAAAUAGGCAUCUGUGGGUCUUUAAGCGAUAGAGCUGAGAGCAAAGACCAGAUGGGUACAACAUGUUUGUUUUUUUCUGUUGUUGGGUUUUUUUUUUUUUUAAUCAAGGCUGGGGUCUCGCUAUUUUGUCCAGGCUGAGCUCAAGUGAUCCUCCCACCUUGGCCUCCCAUAGUACUGGGAUUGCAGGCAUGAGCCACCAUGCAUGGCUAGAUGGGUACAACUUUUAAAAAGUAGGCUAAUGAUGAAUUUUCAUACCUUCCGAAUUCUUUAAGAUAGGAAAUCUACAGUUGCAGUACUAGUUGGUAGUCACAUCUCACCAUCAGGACCCCUUGUUGGGAUAGAAAAAGAUGUAGUUUCUGAGUUUUCUGUCUGCUGCCAUAAUGUAUGUCAUUAUUCUUUCCAACCCACCGUCUCUCCCCUCAAGAUAAAAAGUUCAUGCUGAAAUGGUUUUCUUUGCAUUAUACCUUCUAGAAUGCACCUGAUAAUGGCACCCUGUACAUCUAUUAUAAAUCUGUUAAGAUUCCCCCAUCUACCCUUGCUCUUAGCCUUAAGUUCCUUGAAGGCAGGGGGCCUGCCUUUGGCUUGGUGGUCUCAAUUCCUGCCAUGUGCUGUACCUUAGUAACUCAGUAAAUGUUAGUCUAAUGUCUAAGAUCAGGGCUUUGGGGUUCUCAUUAAAAGAAGGCAGCAUUGUUCAUUGAGGGCAUAAGAGCUAGUGAAAUAAAGCCUCCGCAAGGAGCUUUACAGUCCACUGAAUAGACAGAACAAUGUUUAUAAGGCUUGGUUCAGGUGACAGUUAUUAGAAAAUCUUGGCAGUGAGUGUUACGUUUUAAAAUAAGUAUAAGCAUCUUAGAAAAUUUUAAAACUAUUAAAAAUAUUCCUCAGCAUUGCUAAUAGCUUGCUUAUUUAUUUAACAUAGGGCUUCCGUUACAAGAUGAGGUCUGUGUAUGCUCACUUCCCCAUCAACGUUGUUAUCCAGGAGAAUGGGUCUCUUGUUGAAAUCCGAAAUUUCUUGGGUGAAAAAUAUAUCCGCAGGGUUCGGAUGAGACCAGGUGUUGCUUGUUCAGUAUCUCAAGCCCAGAAAGAUGAAUUAAUCCUUGAAGGAAAUGACAUUGAGCUUGUUUCAAAUUCAGCGGCUUUGAUUCAGCAAGCCACAACAGUUAAAAACAAGGAUAUCAGGAAAUUUUUGGAUGGUAUCUAUGUCUCUGAAAAAGGAACUGUUCAGCAGGCUGAUGAAUAAGAUCUAAGAGUUACCUGGCUACAGAAAGAAGAUGCCAGAUGACACUUAAGACCUACUUGUGAUAU